AGCUCCAAUAGCGUAUACAAAAGUUGCUGCAGUUAAAAAGCUCGUAGUUGGAUUUUGGGAAUGAUUGCGGUUAGCCCAUCGAUUGAUGUGUGCUUCCGUAACGUUUCUUUUCUUCCCACUGUGGUCCGAGGGUAUUAAGUUACUGUCGGGUGCCGCGUGGGAUCGUUUACUUUGAAAAAAUUAGAGUGUUCAAAGCAGGCUAGUUACGGCCGUUGAAUAUUUCAGCAUGGGAUAAUGGAAUAAGACCUUCUCUUAUUUUGUUGGUUUUCAAGAUGUAGGUAAUGAUUAAUAGGGACAGUUGGGGAUAUCAGUAUUUAGUAGUCAGAGGUGAAAUUCUUGGAUUUACGAAAGACUAACUACUGCGAAGGCAUUUAUCAAGGAUGUUUUCAUUA
This 392-nucleotide ribosomal RNA is filed under the name Extubocellulus sp. Its description in RNAcentral is "partial small subunit ribosomal RNA". It matches the Rfam family "Eukaryotic small subunit ribosomal RNA", at positions 587 to 975 of the family's 1831-position model. Lineage: Eukaryota; Bacillariophyta; Thalassiosirophyceae; Cymatosirales; Cymatosiraceae. The record is from RNAcentral.